Lycium barbarum (goji berry) is the source of this 3182-nucleotide long non-coding RNA. RefSeq lists it as uncharacterized. The transcript is spliced from 2 exons. The record is from RefSeq and is a predicted model, not a curated record. NCBI's taxonomy places the organism in Eukaryota, Viridiplantae, Streptophyta, Magnoliopsida, Solanales, Solanaceae.
AAGAGAAUAAUAAGGAGGGAAAAAGAAAGAUAAAGUUGCAUUUUACGUACUAUUUAUUUCUUGACUACAAUUAUUUUGCUUGCAUCAUAGUAAUUGAGAUAAUCUUUUAUUUUAAAUUUAAUUUGAAGAUAUAUUUUUUGAAUUUGAAGAUAAAGUUUUCAUUUUAAGUUGAAAACUCUUUUUUGAAUUUUCUACUUCUGUCUAAGGCAAUUAUGACAUUUUCAUGAAACCCAGAAGCUUCUUCUUAUUUUUUUUCUUUUAACCAAACCGAGCUGCUUCAACCAAACCCAGAAGCUUCUCCCUUCUUAGAAAUACAAUAUACUCACCUUCUUCACACGCCACUUUCUGUUAAAAAAACAAAUUAUCAGCAAAUCAAGAAGCUUUUAGUAGAAAAAUAUAGUGUAAUUUUUUCUCAUAUCAUCUAGCUUAGACCGUUGCUGCAAUUUUUAGGUCUAAGCCCUUUUCUUAUUUCAAUCCAGCUUUCAGCCAAGUGUCGUAUCCUUUCUGUCAUAGUAAAUCAAUUUUCUCAUCAUAUCUUCUUAGGUUAAUCAGAGUAGUAUUGUGAAAUUUCCAGGUAUUUCAACUUUGCUCUGUUCAUUUUCAUGUUUCUCUCAUGUUUUGUUCUCUCUGUGUUUGAAUCUUCUAUGGAUUGAUGAAGUUUUUAAUCUUUCAUUUAAAUCUCCAAAUCAAUCUUCCUCAUAAAAUCUUCCUCAAAUUUUGAAGCCUAAGUUGUAUUUGGGAGUUGAUAUUUUAGUCUGCAGAAAUUUCUAAGUUGUGUUUGGAAGUUGAUAUUGUAGUCUAUAAAAAUUGGUAGUUUUAAUUUUAUAUUCCAUAAUUGCUGCAAUUGGUACUAAAAAAAAGGAGAAAAAGAAAUGUAUUUCCCCUUCAUCUUUGUUUUUUCGUUGGAUUUGUAAACACCACAGCAGUUGUUUGUAUUGGAAAAUUGAAGGGGAUGAGGAGGUCCAGGAAUUAGUAUCCGAGGAGGACAAACCAAUGGAGGAAGCUAUGGCUUUGGAAACAUGUUUAUUUCAUUUAAAGUUUUUUGAUAGAAUAGCAGGUUUCCAACAAUGGGAGUAACUGGACAAUACUUAACAGAUAGGGCUUCAUGGUGAAGAAAGAAGGUGUUGGAGAUGAAAAUGGUGAUAAGGAAGGGUUAUUAAUGGUUGAACGAAGCAGAGAGAGUAAAGAUAAAGCUCUAGCGAGUGAGUUGAAUAAGAAACUUGAAGCUUAUCGAAUGAGAAAUAUUAGAGAUGUUUUAAGUUGUUAAUGGAUGUGCAUUGGUUACCUUCUUUCGGUAUUAACAUGCAAAUUAAGAUCCAUGCUUUUACAGGGGGAGCAAAAGAUAUUUGCCUUCAAUACUGUAGACUUACUACAAUAGGGAAGUAUCUGACUUGACAUCUUAAUACUGUUGAUUAAUCUUUCGAGUUCUUUAUGUGUAAUUCUUUUAUUGUAUAGCUUUAGAAGAGUGUUUAAAUUGUUUACCAUUUUUGCUGGUGGAAUCUCAUAGGCCUCAGAGAAUAUGAUAAUAAAGUGCUUUCUAUGAUAGACAUAACAAUGCACCAUGAGAUUAACUAUGUUCCAUGUCUUUGACCAAAUUACAUUCUUCUACUAGUAAUACAUUAGAAACCAUAUAGCUAAAGUAUAUGUGACAAUCCUCUGUGGAAAAAUGAAGAGUUUUUCAUGAAGAUGCCUUUCAAGAAAAUUGGUUGUUCAUUUGGUGUAAGUUGCUUUAGCAUGCUUUUGGUGCUUGCAGAAAAGAGCUUUACUCAAUGCUAUUGGUAACUUGGGGAUAAUAGGACCUUAUGGAGAUGCUUUAACCUAAGUUGCGCGGACUCUUCACUUUCGUUGUCGUACCCGUGUCGGAUUCUCCAAAAAUGCACUACUUUUGGAGUGUCUGACACGCACCCGCCGAUAUUUUUGAAGAGUCCGAGCAACAUAGGCUUUAACUAAGCUUGAAUGCAGUUUAGAUUGGAUGGAGAGGUUUCUACUCCAUUGACUUCUUCAGGAGCCAUUUCUAGAAUGGCUUACAAGUAAUAUAUGUUACGUUAUCAGUGCUGUUUGGAUAAAAGAACAAGUAUAAAGACUGACAAGCAGAAGUUAUUGGAGUUGUUUCUUGAAAACUUUAGUCACUAUUGCUCAUCUAGUAAUGGUAAUAAAUCUUCUCUGCUUGAGAAAUUCUAUUACUACAAAGCUUAAACCUAUAAAUGGAGAAGAGAAUAAUGACUAAGUUGAUUAAAUUUUGGAUAAUUUAAAGGUACGAAAAGUAAUAUAACUCCCUGUACAAGAUAAUAACUGCAUAAUUUUUUAAGUCAAUUACUGACUUAUUGCUAAGAAAAAUAAAAGAGCAAUGUUUAAAUGUUUAAGCUUUUAAUUGGAGAUGAAUUGUGUAAUUCACCCAUAUUUUUUAUUACUAACUGCAUAUGUUCAUGGUGAACAUAUUAUGUUGCUGAACUCUCGAUUGACAAGGUGAACAUUAUUCUAUAAGACUUUCAUUGGAUUAUAAAGUUUGGAAUAUAUACUGACAUGAUGUAUUGAUGCGGAAGUACGAAUAUAGCACUUAAAUCAAAUAAAAUAUAAAACAAAAUUCAGGUUAUCUCCUCUUGAAUUUUGACCAACUCUUUUUUUCCCCCUUCCUUAAUCUGGUAUGAUGCAUUUUGUCUGAUGUGUCUUUCAGAGGCUUUUUCCUGAUAUGUUCUGAUAUUUAGAUGCUUGUGUAUUACUGAUACUUUGGUUCCUACAUUGUUUGUCUUCUUCAGAUUUACUCUCUGUUAUGGUAAUUGUGUGUUCAUCAUUUCAGAGUUGGCUAAGUAUUGCUUCUUCCUGUUGCAAGGAGACCAACAUCCCAAAGUUGAUCCUUAUAUUUUGGAUGGUUAAGACUUAAGCAUUAGAAAUUAUUGGUCAUGUUAUUGUCAUUUAAAGUUGUUAAGUAACAGAAUAACUUUUUUUUUCUUCAAUUUAUGUAUCCUUUGAGUGGUAGACAAUGAUGAAUUGUUGGAAUCACUUGACGUGCUAGACCAGUAGUUUGUACAUGCUACAUUACGAAGAGAACGUUGUUGAGUACAUCAUCUUUGUUUUUUUCGUUCAUUUUUCUGUAUUCUAAAUUGGUACAAUGUGAUGAAACUAUUUGUAAUAUUGAGCUUAUAUGCAGAUUUAAUCUCUGCAUUCAGUUGGAUUUCCUACAA